CAACCAGAUCACGUUGAAACACCGUUUCCCGUACGAUCAUCUAAGUUAAGCAACGUCGAGCCGGUUCAGUACCUAGAUGGGUGGCCGCUUGAGAAUACCUGGUACUGUAA
Molecule: non-coding RNA, 110 nt
Organism: Acanthosepion pharaonis
Lineage: Eukaryota; Metazoa; Mollusca; Cephalopoda; Sepiida; Sepiidae
Source: the annotation of a GenBank genome assembly